This is a non-coding RNA of Salmo salar (Atlantic salmon), 54 nucleotides long. NCBI's taxonomy places the organism in Eukaryota, Metazoa, Chordata, Actinopteri, Salmoniformes, Salmonidae. The record is from Rfam.
UGCAUUCACUACUGUAAGUCGCUCUGGAUAAGAGCGUCUGCUAAAUGACUGGAA